Molecule: ribosomal RNA, 426 nt
Filed under: uncultured Actinomycetes bacterium
Lineage: Bacteria; Bacillati; Actinomycetota; Actinomycetes
Description: bacterial SSU rRNA
Rfam family: Bacterial small subunit ribosomal RNA
Source: RNAcentral
AACGCGAAGAACCUUACCAAGGUUUGACAUGCAGGGAAAAGCCGUAGAGAUAUGGUGUCCGUAAGGGUCCUGCACAGGUGGUGCAUGGCUGUCGUCAGCUCGUGUCGUGAGAUGUUGGGUUAAGUCCCGCAACGAGCGCAACCCUCGUCCUAUGUUGCCAGCGGGUAAUGCCGGGGACUCAUAGGAGACUGCCGGGGUCAACUCGGAGGAAGGUGGGGAUGACGUCAAGUCCUCAUGCCCCUUAUGUCUUGGGCUGCAAACAUGCUACAAUGGCCAGUACAAAGGGUUGCGAGACCGCAAGGUGGAGCGAAUCCCAAAAAGCUGGUCUCAGUUCGGAUUGGGGUCUGCAACUCGACCCCAUGAAGUCGGAGUCGCUAGUAAUCGCAGAUCAGCAACGCUGCGGUGAAUACGUUCCCGGGCCUUGUA